This is a long non-coding RNA of Dipodomys spectabilis (banner-tailed kangaroo rat), 291 nucleotides long. RefSeq lists it as uncharacterized. The transcript is spliced from 3 exons. The record is from RefSeq and is a predicted model, not a curated record. NCBI's taxonomy places the organism in Eukaryota, Metazoa, Chordata, Mammalia, Rodentia, Heteromyidae.
AUUCAGGCUUAAGCGGACUGGAGACAGCCCAGGAUGGAACGACCUGAGAGUCAGCCCACGAAAUGGAGGAAUGGGACCAGCAGGCCAUGCAGAGCUGAGAAUGCUGGUGGAGCUGCAGGGAAGAGUGUCCUGCAGGGGGACAGUGAUCCCAGGGGGCCCGGAGCCAAUAGGAGGGGUGACUCCACACCCCUGGAGCCUGGAGUCAAUUUACCUGUUCUGUACAUUUCACAGUGGAAUCGAGCCAGGCACCAGUGGCUUACACCUGUAAUCCAAGCUACUCAGGAGGCUGAG